GACAGAGGGUGCAAACGUUGCUCGGAAUCACUGGGCGAAAGGGCGUGUAGGCGGGGCAGGUAAGUCGGGCGUGAAAUCCCUGGGCUCAACCCAGGAACUGCACUCGAAACUACUUGUCUUGAGUGUCGGAGAGGAAAGCGGAAUUCCUGGUGUAGAGGUGAAAUUCGUAGAUAUCAGGAGGAACACCAGUGGCGAAGGCGGCUUUCUGGA
RNAcentral lists this ribosomal RNA (210 nucleotides) under uncultured bacterium. Its description in RNAcentral is "partial 16S ribosomal RNA". It matches the Rfam family "Bacterial small subunit ribosomal RNA", at positions 524 to 733 of the family's 1533-position model. The record is from RNAcentral.